AAUCUCAAUCCCAUCUGGUUUAUGAUCAGGUGCUGGACUUGGACCUGGGUGUCUGCCGCUUGCCCGGCUCACCUCAAAUGACUUAGUGGGAUCGCUUGCAUCCGUGACAGACGUAAUAAGUUUCGUCUUGUCCCUUGCUCUGCGUGUGCCUGCUCACAACCAAGCUUGCCUUCUGGCAAACUAUUUUUUGA
RNAcentral lists this unclassified non-coding RNA (191 nucleotides) under uncultured Tremellales. RNAcentral's name for it is "sequence contains ITS2". Lineage: Eukaryota; Fungi; Basidiomycota; Tremellomycetes; Tremellales. The record is from RNAcentral.